Hordeum vulgare subsp. vulgare (domesticated barley) is the source of this 136-nucleotide non-coding RNA. The record is from Rfam. Lineage: Eukaryota; Viridiplantae; Streptophyta; Magnoliopsida; Poales; Poaceae.
UCACUACCCCCUUCGUCCCAAAAUUCUUGUCUUAAAUUUUUCUACGUAUGAAUGUAUCUAGUCACGUUUUAGUAUUUACAUACAUCCAUUUCUAGACAAACUUAAAACAAGAAUUAUAGGACGGAGGGAGUACUUC